CGGCCGCGUCGACCGUAAACCGACACAGGUAGUUGGGAAGAGAAUUCUAAGGUGAGCGAGCGAACUCUCGUUAAGGAACUCGGCAAAAAUGACCCCGUAACUUCGGGAGAAGGGGUGCUUAUAGCAAUAUAAGCCGCAGUGAAUAGGCCCAAGCGACUGUUUACCAAAAACACAGGUCUCUGCCAAACCGAAAGGUGAAGUAUAGGGGCUGACGCCUGCCCGGUGCUGGAAGGUUAAGAGGAGUGCUUAGCGCAAGCGAAGGUACGAAUUGAAGCCCCAGUAAACGGCGGCCGUAACGAUAACGGUCCUAAGGUAGCGAAAUUCCUUGUCAGGUAAGUUCUGACCCGCACGAAAGGCGUAACGAUUUGGGCACUGUCUCAACGGAGAGGCUCGGUGAAAUCAUAGUACCUGUGAAGAUGCAGGUUACCCGCGACAGGACGGAAAGACCCCAUGGAGCUUUACUGCAGUUUGAUAUUGAGUAUCUGUACCACAUGUACAGGAUAGGUAGAGCCUAUGACCUCGGGACGCCAGUUUCGAGUGAGGCGUUGUUGGGACUACUACCCUUGUGUUUAG
This 573-nucleotide ribosomal RNA is filed under the name uncultured Enterococcus sp. Its description in RNAcentral is "bacterial LSU rRNA". It matches the Rfam family "Bacterial large subunit ribosomal RNA", at positions 1635 to 2216 of the family's 2925-position model. The record is from RNAcentral. Lineage: Bacteria; Bacillati; Bacillota; Bacilli; Lactobacillales; Enterococcaceae.